This is a long non-coding RNA of Gossypium arboreum, 545 nucleotides long. RefSeq lists it as uncharacterized. Lineage: Eukaryota; Viridiplantae; Streptophyta; Magnoliopsida; Malvales; Malvaceae. The record is from RefSeq and is a predicted model, not a curated record. The transcript is spliced from 2 exons.
UUAACCUGUUUUUAAAAAAAAACUGAAGAAAGCUCUGAAGGGGAUAGAGAACAGGCCCUCAGAGCUCCGUCGAGCCUCCGUCAUCGGGCUCUCACGCUCCCACGAGCCACCGUCGACUUCGCCAUGUACGGCGGUCGGAAUUCGAAAAAUUUUCGCUUUUUACAGCGAAUAGAGAGGCGAGUGAAGAUCCGGUGACGAGGGUUGGCAUGUUGAUUACCGCGCGAGAUGAGGCCUGGUUGCUGACUUUGCGUGACGAUUGGGAUCAAGCUUACGGCGCAAAUGUUUCUGGAAACCCUAGGGUUUCCUGAUUUGAUUUAGGCAUUGGGCCAUCCUGGGCCUCGCUGAUUUGGGUCUAAUUUGGGUAUUCGGGCUAAGGGUUUUAGGUGUAUGUGGGCUACUAGUGUCUCUUGUAAAUGGGCCAUAGAUAGUGCUCAAGCUGGGCUAUGUAUAUAGGCUAUCAAUUUGGACUUGUAAAAGGACUUUUAUUAUUUUUUGUUUUUGUCUUUUAUUUAUUUUACGGACCGGGCAAAUUUGAGUUAUUACAA